RNAcentral lists this small RNA (17 nucleotides) under Arabidopsis thaliana (thale cress). Its description in RNAcentral is "ATSL248930". Lineage: Eukaryota; Viridiplantae; Streptophyta; Magnoliopsida; Brassicales; Brassicaceae. The record is from RNAcentral.
UUUUUUUUUCCUUUUUU